ACAAACACAUCAGGGCAGAUCCCCUUCCUCUUCCCCACGCACGAGCGGGGAUACCGCCGCCGCCGCCUUCCUCGCGGAGUCUGCGGCCGAAGGAUCGGUUGGGACGCACCGGGUCUGCGGUGCGAGCUCUCGGCUCGGGGCAGGAGGCGGCUCGAUGACGAGGAGCUGGGGCGCGGCGCUCCUCUCCUGGUGUGGCGCACGAGGGAAGGAGGAGGGGAUCGAUCCAAGACGAGAGCUGAGGCCGGCGGCGCCCUUCACACAAGCCUCACCGGCGGUUCCCUGUACACAAGCCUCACCGGCGAUGCAGCGGGAGAGCUCCGACCCGUCCAUAGGUGCGGGGAUGCAGAUCCGUGUCGCCAGCCUGUACUAGGCCGAGGUUGACGCGCCGGCGCAGGGGUCACCGUCCAUCUUCGCCAGGCCUCCAGAGUACUCCAGCAACAGCCACUGGACGGCAGGUAAGCAUGCAUUGUAUGACCUUAGCUAAUUGCGUACAUACAAGUUUGGAUGAAUUCCAAGAGAUGGAGCACUCUAUCCAAAUAGGAGAAGUGUUAGUGAGUACAAUUUCACAAUGGUUUUCAUGGGGAGCAAAAUAAUUACCUGCGGCAAAUUUAGGUUCUAGAAUUGACAUAUAUUCAGUUCCUUUUUUUUAUAAAGAGAGCUCCCUCUUCGAUUUUCUUUAGAGGAAAUCACCGUGUCUUACCUAUAUUCAGUUCCUGGAAGAACAAAGAAGUUGCAUGUCCUUUUAGUCUGAAAAUCACAUUGAUCCUUGGAGCAUGAUGGGGACAAAUCGCACAUAUGUCCUGUACUGCACACACAGGCAAAGGAUUUUUCUGAAUGCCAUUGUUGUCCGGUACACAGUGUUUAUCAGUGAGUAAUUUGCCCCUUUCGCAAUGUGAUGAUACUGGCAAUAAGGGAAGCAUCAUAUACCAUUGGUUUUGCUGAACUAGAAAUAACACAACUACAUAUUGAUUUUCUGCUUAAAUUUCACAAUAGAUAUUUUGCCGGAUGACCCACUGUAUGAGGAUGCCACAUCCUUUCUUGCUCACCCAACACACGGCAUUCCUGUAUGUCGUUGUGUGCUUCUCAGUACAGUAGAGGUACCACACGGGGUGGUGACUGGGAGGCUGGUACAUGCUAGCACGGCCAAACAGCUGGUUCACUGCGAUCAGGGUGCUAGAGGCUCUUGGGGUUGCAGCCCGCUCGCCUGCUGGAGGUACAAUGUUGAUUAUUUAGAGACCUCAUCUUCAUGAGACUAGCAAGGGAUGGACAUUCUGAAGAAGAAGAGAUGAGGUGAGUUUCUGAAGUUCACCGUCCAAUCCAAGUAUUAAAGGUGAGCAUUACUAUUCAAAGGGACAUAAUUAACCUGUUAAAUUAUUCUUAGAGCAAGGAACCAGUUAUUAUCUAACCGAAUAAUUGUAAACUAGCUUCUUUUUCUAAAAUGAGGUGUCGUCUUUAAAUAGAGGAGAUGGACCGGAGAGGGGGUUUGAGAAAUGCUAAUUAGGCUAGAGGCGUAUGAUUUUUUUUCUCCCGUUGCAAUGCACGAGCAUGUUUGCUAUAAUAAUAAAGCAUCCAGUGGAGGGGUUUAGAAAAAUAGAAACGGUUCUAUUUGAUAUGUAAUUUAGAAAUUAAUGGCUGGAGGAUCCUAAACUAACAUAUGGCAUUUUGUUUCAAUUUCUCUUUACCUGAUUGUGUUACUUAUGCACAAUCACCAUACUUGACAUAGGUCCCUGCACUUCCGUUGACGAGUAUUUUGUCAGCAUCUCGAUGCGGAGCGUUGUAGCGCCCUUGGCUCAAGGUGACCAUCUUCAGCGCAUCGUGGUGUCGCUGCCCACACGAUCUCUACAGACACCACAAAAGGCUACAGGACCGACGAGGCCGGUGGCCUGACCACCGAAUCAUGUUGUCGCGCGGGCGCCUUGAUCUAUAUGUGCCUCCUCCGUCUCUUAUUCCCUGGAACGUAAUUUGAUGACUCAUUGAUGUCACACUCGCUUAGGAUUAAACUGCACAGGUUAGAUUGACAUUUUGCCCUGUGUUUAAUUACUACAUGCACUGCACGCUGAUUCAUGUAUAUAUUGGCUCCCCUAUAUAUACCUCUAUUGGUGAAAAGUUUUGACUUUCGAGUUUUGUCAGACGUGAGUUGCAGCAAUUUUCAGUUACUUUUCUAUGCC
Molecule: RNA transcript, 2168 nt
Organism: Triticum aestivum (bread wheat)
Lineage: Eukaryota; Viridiplantae; Streptophyta; Magnoliopsida; Poales; Poaceae
Exons: 5
Source: RefSeq, a predicted model, not a curated record